CAAGGAACAGUAUGCACACUGCCAUAAUAAGACAGGCAAGUGGAAUCAGGCUGUAGCGAGUUAUUACUGUUGCUUGUGAAUUGGAUUUUUAGUUGACAGUCAGGGAUAUCGGAUAUUACUUGAAAUAGUCAAAAUUGAAUAUCGGGAUAUAUUUACUAAAUGUGCUGCAACACUUGAGCAACAAGGAAUAUUAAAGAGCUAAAGAUGAAGCAUUUAUGGAUCUAUGUCGUUUUUACCAUGGUCUUGACUUUUCACAGAACGACUGCCACAGACGUUUGUUUCAGUACCAGCCAAACAUAUAAUUGUAACUGCACAUCGCCUCCCGUGAAACUACCAGGGAGAC
Molecule: long non-coding RNA, 343 nt
Organism: Strongylocentrotus purpuratus (purple sea urchin)
Lineage: Eukaryota; Metazoa; Echinodermata; Echinoidea; Camarodonta; Strongylocentrotidae
Exons: 3
Source: RefSeq, a predicted model, not a curated record